This 505-nucleotide ribosomal RNA is filed under the name uncultured bacterium. RNAcentral describes it as "partial 16S ribosomal RNA". It matches the Rfam family "Bacterial small subunit ribosomal RNA", at positions 28 to 507 of the family's 1533-position model. The record is from RNAcentral.
GACGAACGCUGGCGGCGUGCCUAAUACAUGCAAGUAGAACGCACAGUUUAUACCGUAGCUUGCUACACCAUAGACUGUGAGUUGCGAACGGGUGAGUAACGCGUAGCUAACCUGCCUGGUAGCGGGGGAUAACUAUUGGACACGAUAGCUAAUACCGCAUAAUAUUGAUUAUUGCAUGAUAAUUGAUGGAAAGAUGCUAUUGCAUCACUACCAGAUGGACCUGCGUUGUAUUAGCUAGUAGGUGAGGUAACGGCCCACCUAGGCGACGAUACAUAGCCGACCUGGGAGGGUGAUCGGCCAACCUGGGACUGAGACAAGGCCCAGCACCCUAAGGGAGGCAGCCGUAGGGAAUCUUCCGCAAUGGACGAAAGUCUGACCGAGCCACGCCGCGUGAGUGAAGAAGGUUUUCGGAUCGUAAAGCUCUGUAGUAAGAGAAGAACGGGUGGGAGAGUGGAAAGUUCACACUGUGACGGUAUCUUACCAGAAAGGGACGGCUAACUACGUG